Molecule: ribosomal RNA, 497 nt
Filed under: uncultured bacterium
Lineage: Bacteria
Description: partial 16S ribosomal RNA
Rfam family: Bacterial small subunit ribosomal RNA
Source: RNAcentral
GAUGAACGCUGGCGGCGUGCCUAAUACAUGCAAGUCGAGCGAACAGAUGAGGAGCUUGCUCCUCUGACGUUAGCGGCGGACGGGUGAGUAACACGUGGAUAACCUACCUAUAAGACUGGGAUAACUUCGGGAAACCGGAGCUAAUACCGGAUAAUAUAUUGAACCGCAUGGUUCAAUAGUGAAAGACGGUUUUGCUGUCACUUAUAGAUGGAUCCGCGCCGCAUUAGCUAGUUGGUAAGGUAACGGCUUACCAAGGCGACGAUGCGUAGCCGACCUGAGAGGGUGAUCGGCCACACUGGAACUGAGACACGGUCCAGACUCCUACGGGAGGCAGCAGUAGGGAAUCUUCCGCAAAGGGCGAAAGCCUGACGGAGCAACGCCGCGUGAGUGAUGAAGGUCUUCGGAUCGUAAAACUCUGUUAUUAGGGAAGAACAAAUGUGUAAGUAACUAUGCACGUCUUGACGGUACCUAAUCAGAAAGCCACGGCUAAUUACGUG